GCAAGCAAAGAAAACGGAAAAAUAAAAGCGUAUUAAGAUUUCGUGUGGAAAGUAAAAAUGCUGUAGGCGCAGUGUAAAAUGCAUAUAUUGCAGAUAAAUCGCGUUUGUGAGAUGCUUAAACGCGAAUUCAACAUCAAGUCGGUGCAGAACUUCAAGGUGCAAUAACACAAAUACCCGAAUUAUCGAAUAAACCAAAGUGCAAUUGGCCAGUUGAGACUACAACCACCAUAACAACAACAACAACAGCAGCAACAGUGAAAUAAUAAUAUAACCUUGUGUUUUGUUUUUUCGUGGAUCACAAAUAAGCAUAUAUACACAGAAUUAAUCGAGGUGCAAACGGUGUAAAAAGUGAUUAAAUAAUAAAGGUUUAACAGGAAAACAGAGUUAUUGUGUGUGCGAGUGUGUGUGUGCGUAGUGACAACAAUACAAACGCGGCGACCAAUACAAGCGCACAGAUAGUUUUCAUACGUAGGAAAAUACCGAAAGUAACAGCGAUAAAUAAUACAAAACAACAACGAAGAGUCUCAAAAAGUGCUGGAAAAACUCGCGAUAAGAAAAACAGGAACCUCCACAUCGGCAGAUCACUUGAAUGCUGCCGCACUUUGAAAUCCUGAGACACAAUGGUUUCGUUAAUUGACACAAUCGAAGCGGCGGCCGAGAAACAGAAGCAGUCCCAAUCGGUGGCCACCAACUCCUCCUCCUCCUCCUCAUCCUCUUCGUUCUCGGCCUCCCCGCCAUCUUCGGCCGUUGGCUCCCCAGCUCCUGGCGCCCAAAAAUCCAAUCUCACCGCCAGCGGCAAACCAAAGGAGAAACGAAGGAACAAUGAGAAACGCAAGGAAAAGUCUCGCGAUGCGGCUAGAUGUCGUCGCUCCAAGGAGACGGAGAUUUUCAUGGAACUCUCCGCGGCUUUGCCAUUGAAAACCGACGAUGUCAAUCAACUGGACAAGGCCUCCGUGAUGAGGAUCACUAUCGCUUUCCUCAAGAUUCGCGAGAUGCUGCAGUUCGUGCCCAGCUUGCGCGACUGCAAUGAUGCCAUUAAGCAGGACAUUGAAGCUCUAGAAGAUCAGCAGGAGAUCAAGCCCAAGCUAGAAGUGGGCAAUGAGGAUUGGCUCAACGGCGCUGAGGCCAGAGAGCUCCUUAAGCAGACCAUGGAUGGAUUCCUGCUGGUCCUGUCCCACGAGGGAGACAUCACCUACGUGUCCGAAAACGUGGUCGAGCAUCUGGGCAUCACCAAGAUUGACACACUUGGCCAACAGAUCUGGGAGUACUCGCACCAGUGCGAUCACGCCGAGAUCAAGGAGGCUCUCAGCCUGAAGCGUGAGAUUGCCCAGAAGGUCAAGGAUGAACCGCAGCAGGACUCUGGCGUGAGCACCCAUCACCGGGAUCUGUUUGUGCGCUUGAAGUGCACCUUGACCAGUCGUGGACGCAGCAUCAACAUCAAGAGCGCUUCGUAUAAGGUCAUUCACAUUACCGGUCACUUGGUGGUCAAUGCCAAGGGCGAGCGCCUGCUGAUGGCCAUUGGCCGACCCAUUCCGCAUCCGUCAAACAUUGAGAUUCCUUUGGGAACCAGCACCUUCCUAACCAAACACUCCCUGGAUAUGCGUUUCACCUAUGUGGAUGACAAGAUGCAAGACUUGUUGGGAUACUUGCCCAAGGAUCUACUUGACACCUCUUUGUUUUUGUGCCAGCAUGGAGCGGAUUCCGAACGCCUGAUGGCAACCUUCAAGAGCGUGCUGAGCAAGGGACAGGGCGAGACCUCGCGCUACAGAUUCCUGGGAAAGUAUGGUGGCUACUGCUGGAUUCUUAGCCAGGCCACGAUCGUCUACGAUAAGCUGAAGCCACAGAGCGUCGUUUGCGUGAACUACGUCAUAAGUAAUCUUGAGAAUAAACAUGAGAUAUACUCACUUGCUCAACAAACGGCUGCAAGUGAGCAAAAGGAACAGCAACAACACCACCACCAAGCAGCUGAAACCGAAGAGGAGCCCGAAAAAUCAGCAGAUCCCGAAAUAAUCCCUGAGGAAACCAAGGAAUCAGUGAACACACCAAUUUCCUUAGAGCCGGAAACUAAGCCUCUGCAAAUUGAGAGCGAGCAAGCAGAGAAAACCAACGAGGAAACCAAAACAAGUGCAACAAACCCACCAGUAACUGCAACCUCCACGGCUGACCAGAUAAAGCAGCUGCCCGAGAGCAAUCCCUACAAGCAGAUCCUCCAGGCGGAGUUGCUGAUCAAGCGGGAGAACCACUCGCCAGGACCACGCACCAUCACUGCCCAGCUGCUCAGCGGCAGUAGCAGUAGCAGUAGCAGUAGCAGUAGCAGCGGACUGCGUUCCGAGGAGAAGCGUCCCAAGUCGGUGACCGCUUCGGUCCUCCGCCCGAGUCCCGCUCCACCACUGACCCCGCCGCCCACAGCGGUCCUCUGCAAGAAGUCACCGCUCGGCGUGGAGCCCACUCUGCCGCCCACCACCACCGCCACGGCAGCCAUAAUCUCCUCGAGCAAUCAGCAGCUGCAGAUCACACAGCAAACCCAACUGCAGAGUCCCCAGCAACCAGCUCAAGAUAUGAGUAAAGGAUUCUGCUCGCUGUUUGCUGACGAUGGACGAGGUCUGACAAUGCUUAAGGAAGAACCCGACGAUUUGUCCCACCACCUGGCCUCCACCAAUUGCAUCCAGCUGGACGAGAUGACGCCCUUCAGUGACAUGCUGGUUGGCCUCAUGGGCACCUGCCUGCUGCCCGAGGACAUCAACUCCCUGGACUCGACCACCUGCUCCACGACGGCCAGCGGCCAGCACUACCAGAGCCCCAGCAGCAGCAGCACCUCUGCACCCAGCAAUACCAGUAGCAACAGCAAUAGCUAUGCCAACAGUCCGCUCAGCCCGCUCACACCCACACCCACGGCCAACGCUAGCAAUCCCAGUCAUCAGCAGCAGCAGCAGCAACAGCAGCAUCACAACCAGCAGCAGCAGCAGCAACAACAGCAGCAGCAGCAGCAUCAUCCACAGCACCACGACAACAGCAACAGCAGCAGCAAUAUCGAUCCGCUGUUCAACUAUCGCGAGGAGUCGAAUGACACCAGCUGCUCCCAGCACCUGCACUCGCCCAGCAUCACAUCAAAGAGUCCCGAGGACAGCAGCCUGCCAUCGCUGUGCAGUCCCAACUCGCUGACCCAGGAGGAUGACUUCUCGUUCGAGGCCUUCGCUAUGCGUGCUCCCUACAUCCCGAUCGAUGAUGAUAUGCCGCUGCUAACGGAGACGGAUCUCAUGUGGUGCCCACCAGAGGAUCUGCAGACCAUGGUGCCCAAGGAGAUCGAUGCCAUACAGCAGCAGUUGCAACAACUGCAGCAGCAACAUCACCAGCAAUACGCCAACAACAAUGGCUACCAGCAACAGCAACAGCAGCAGCAGCAACUGCAGCAGCAGCAUUUCUCCAACUCGCUGUGCUCGUCGCCAGCCUCAACGGUCUCGUCAUUGUCGCCAUCGCCCGUGCAACAGCACCAUCAGCAGCAGCAGGCGGCGGUCUUCACCAGCGAUUCCAGCGAACUGGCGGCGUUGCUGUGCGGAUCCGGAAAUGGAACACUGUCGAUCCUGGCAGGAAGUGGUGUUCCGGUUGCGGAGGAGUGCAACGAGCGGCUCCAACAACAUCAGCAGCAGCAACAACAGCAGCAACAGCAGAGUGGCAACGAGUUCAGGACUUUCCAGCAGCUGCAGCAGGAGUUGCAGUUGCAGGAGGAGCAGCAGCAGCGUCAGCAGCAGCAGCAGCAACAACAGCAGCAGCAGCAACAGCAGUUACUCAGCCUGAACAUCGAGUGCAAAAAAGAGAAAUACGAUGUGCAAAUGGGAGGCAGCUUAUGUCAUUCCAUGGAGGAUGCAUUUGAGAACGACUACAGCAAGGACUCCGCAAAUCUGGACUGCUGGGACCUGAUCCAAAUGCAGGUGGUGGACACGGAACCCGUGAGUCCCAACGCCGCAUCUCCUGCUCCCUGCAAGGUGUCUGCCAUCCAGUUGCUCCAGCAACAGCAGCAACUGCAGCAGCAGCAGAACAUCAUCUUGAAUGCAGUGCCAUUGAUCACCAUACAGAAUAACAAGGAAUUGAUGCAACAGCAGCAGCAGCAGCAGCAGGAGCAGCUGCAGCAGCCGGCUAUCAAACUGCUGAACGGAGCCAGCAUUGCGCCGGUGAACACCAAGGCCACCAUUCGCCUGGUGGAGAGCAAGCCACUCACCACGACGCAGUCUCGAGUGGCCAAGGUGAACCUUGUGCCCCAGCAGCAGCAGCAGCAGCAUGGAAACAAGCGACACCUGAAUAGCGCGACAGGAGCAUGCAAUCCCGUGGAGUCGAAGCGCCUGAAGAGCGGAACCAUCUGCCUGGAUGUGCAGUCGCCACAGCUGCUGCAGCAGCUGAUUGGCAAGGAUCCUGCCCAGCAGCAAGCCCAAGCAGCUAAGCGAGCAGGCAGUGAGCGCUGGCAGCAAUCGACGGAGAGCAAGCAGCAGAAGCAGCAGCAACAGCAGUCGAACUCGGUGCUGAAGAACCUGCUGGUCAGCGGACGCGAUAAUGACGAAUCCGAGGCAAUGAUAAUCGAUGAGGACAACUCCCUGGAGCAGCCAACUCCACUGGGCAAAUAUGGCUUGCCCCUGCACUGUCACACGUCCACGUCGUCGGUGCUGCGGGACUACCACCACAACCCGCUGAUCAGUGGCACCAACUUCCAGCUGUCUCCAGUCUUCGGAGGCUCCGACUCUGGCGGAGGUGACGGCGAGACCGGUUCAGUGGUUUCCCUUGAUGACUCCGUGCCCCCUGGCCUGACAACCUGCGACACGGAUGCCUCCAGCGACAGCGGCAUCGAUGAGAACAGCCUGGUGGAUGGAUCAUCAGGGUCACCGCGUAAGAGGAUGCUCCCAAGCUCCAUCAGCACUGAACAGGUUGAGUGUGCAGCACGCCCUUCGCAAGUGGUGACUCCAGUGAGCCAGAAGUCGUUGGAAGAGGAGCUCGACGGAUGCGCAACUGGCAGUAACGCCCCCAGCAGGAAGACUUCGAUUUCGUUCCUGGACAGCAGCAAUCCACUGCUGCACACGCCGGCGAUGAUGGACCUGGUCAACGACGACUACAUCAUGGGCGAGGGUGGCUUCGAGUUCAGCGAGAACCAGUUGGAGCAGGUUCUGGGUUGGCCAGAAAUCGCCUAGAUUCAGUACCUUAGUAGCAUGCACUGCAUUUGACAGGAGGCAUUUUUUUUUUUGGCGAAGGAUUAGAGAGAAAACAUUGAAAUUAAACUGAGCAUCGAGAAGGAAGCUAACCAAAAGAUUGAUUUUGAGCCUUGCGUGAAAGUACGAACCCAACUUGACAACCGGACAGGACCCAUGCCCACCAACCACCAAACCAGACGAUGAUCGAAAACUUGACCUCUGACCCCUGACCCCUGGCCGCGACACCGACCCCAUGCUAACCGACACAUUUACAAACAGGAAGGGUUAAUCACACUUGAAUAGUUUUGUAGCCAUGUUAACUGCCUAGAACAGAAGAAUAUACACAUGGAUGAGGAGCAACAUAGCGGAGGAGGUGGAAAACCAGUCGAAACAUAAAUAUAAACCUAUAGUUUACAAAAAGAGAAAAAAAAAAAACGUUGAAAAAUGUUCAUAGUUUUUUGCUGGAAGGCUCAAAGAAGUUUUUUGGUGAUGGUUGUAUUCUGUUUUAUAACUUUCAAGCAAAAAUGCUGUGACGACAAAAAAAGUUUUUGA
RNAcentral lists this unclassified non-coding RNA (5726 nucleotides) under Drosophila yakuba. Its description in RNAcentral is "GE10859". Lineage: Eukaryota; Metazoa; Arthropoda; Insecta; Diptera; Drosophilidae. The record is from RNAcentral.